This 482-nucleotide ribosomal RNA is filed under the name uncultured bacterium. RNAcentral describes it as "partial 16S ribosomal RNA". It matches the Rfam family "Bacterial small subunit ribosomal RNA", at positions 30 to 507 of the family's 1533-position model. The record is from RNAcentral.
AUUGAACGCUGGCGGCAUGCUUUACACAUGCAAGUCGAACGGUAACAGGCCGCAAGGUGCUGACGAGUGGCGAACGGGUGAGUAAUGCAUCGGAACGUGCCCAGUCGUGGGGGAUAACUACUCGAAAGAGUAGCUAAUACCGCAUACGAUCUAUGGAUGAAAGCGGGGGACCGUAAGGCCUCGCGCGAUUGGAGCGGCCGAUGUCAGAUUAGGUAGUUGGUGGGGUAAAGGCUCACCAAGCCAACGAUCUGUAGCUGGUCUGAGAGGACGACCAGCCACACUGGGACUGAGACACGGCCCAGACUCCUACGGGAGGCAGCAGUGGCGAAUUUUGGACAAUGGGCGCAAGCCUGAUCCAGCAAUGCCGCGUGCAGGAAGAAGGCCUUCGGGUUGUAAACUGCUUUUGUACGGAACGAAACGGCUCUGGUUAAUACCCGGGGCUAAUGACGGUACCGUAAGAAUAAGCACCGGCUAACUACGUG